UCGCAUCUGUGCAUGCAGCAUAUCAAUAAGCGGAGGAAAAGAAACUAACAAGGAUUCCCCUAGUAACGGCGAGUGAAGCGGGAAGAGCUCAUAUUUGAAAUCUUAAAGGGUUUCCCUUUACGAAUUGUAGUUUAAAGAAGUGUUUUCUGUUGAGGUUUUGGUAAAAGUUCUUUGGAAUAGGACAUCAUAGAGGGUGAGAAUCCCGUAUUUGACCUUUACUUUCAACUUUGUGAUACACUUUCAAAGAGUCGGAUUGUUUGGGAAUGCAGUCCAAAAUGGGUGGUAAAUUUCAUCUAAAGCUAAAUAUUGGCGAGAGACCGAUAGCGAACAAGUACCGUGAGGGAAAGAUGAAAAGAACUUUGAAAAGAGAGUUAAACAGUACGUGAAAUUGUCAAAAGGGAAGCGUUUGACACCAGUGUUGUUUUUCUGAAAAUCAAUUAAAGAACUGUUUAUGCUAAGUUGUUUAGACUUUAUCAGCUAAUCUGCUUCAGUUUUGAGCUUUUCUUUAAUGCACUUUUCAGUUAACAAGUCAACAUCAAUUUCUUUUGCUGUAAAAAAGCUUGAGGAAGGUGGCUUGAGAUUCGUCUUAAGUGUUUAUAGCCUCUUGCCUAUGCAGUCGGAGAGAUUGAGGUCUGCAGCGUAGAUCCUUCGGGGCUAAAUGCAUUUGUGCUAAGUUAUAGCAUUUUAUAGACAACUUGUUGACUAUGAUUUGUCUUGUAGCUUACUCGCUUAUGUUAUUUUACCUACGCUUAGGAUGUUGAGCGCAUGUCUCUCUCU
RNAcentral lists this ribosomal RNA (777 nucleotides) under uncultured Neocallimastigales. RNAcentral describes it as "partial large subunit ribosomal RNA". It matches the Rfam family "Eukaryotic large subunit ribosomal RNA", at positions 24 to 616 of the family's 3401-position model. The record is from RNAcentral. Lineage: Eukaryota; Fungi; Neocallimastigomycota; Neocallimastigomycetes; Neocallimastigales.